This 962-nucleotide ribosomal RNA is filed under the name Salmonella enterica subsp. enterica serovar Bredeney. RNAcentral's name for it is "partial 16S ribosomal RNA". It matches the Rfam family "Bacterial small subunit ribosomal RNA", at positions 147 to 1104 of the family's 1533-position model. Lineage: Bacteria; Pseudomonadati; Pseudomonadota; Gammaproteobacteria; Enterobacterales; Enterobacteriaceae. The record is from RNAcentral. RNAcentral also lists the same sequence under 1 other name.
CUACUGGAAACGGUGGCUAAUACCGCAUAACGUCGCAAGACCAAAGAGGGGGACCUUCGGGCCUCUUGCCAUCAGAUGUGCCCAGAUGGGAUUAGCUUGUUGGUGAGGUAACGGCUCACCAAGGCGACGAUCCCUAGCUGGUCUGAGAGGAUGACCAGCCACACUGGAACUGAGACACGGUCCAGACUCCUACGGGAGGCAGCAGUGGGGAAUAUUGCACAAUGGGCGCAAGCCUGAUGCAGCCAUGCCGCGUGUAUGAAGAAGGCCUUCGGGUUGUAAAGUACUUUCAGCGGGGAGGAAGGUGUUGUGGUUAAUAACCGCAGCAAUUGACGUUACCCGCAGAAGAAGCACCGGCUAACUCCGUGCCAGCAGCCGCGGUAAUACGGAGGGUGCAAGCGUUAAUCGGAAUUACUGGGCGUAAAGCGCACGCAGGCGGUCUGUCAAGUCGGAUGUGAAAUCCCCGGGCUCAACCUGGGAACUGCAUUCGAAACUGGCAGGCUUGAGUCUUGUAGAGGGGGGUAGAAUUCCAGGUGUAGCGGUGAAAUGCGUAGAGAUCUGGAGGAAUACCGGUGGCGAAGGCGGCCCCCUGGACAAAGACUGACGCUCAGGUGCGAAAGCGUGGGGAGCAAACAGGAUUAGAUACCCUGGUAGUCCACGCCGUAAACGAUGUCUACUUGGAGGUUGUGCCCUUGAGGCGUGGCUUCCGGAGCUAACGCGUUAAGUAGACCGCCUGGGGAGUACGGCCGCAAGGUUAAAACUCAAAUGAAUUGACGGGGGCCCGCACAAGCGGUGGAGCAUGUGGUUUAAUUCGAUGCAACGCGAAGAACCUUACCUGGUCUUGACAUCCACGGAAGUUUUCAGAGAUGAGAAUGUGCCUUCGGGAACCGUGAGACAGGUGCUGCAUGGCUGUCGUCAGCUCGUGUUGUGAAAUGUUGGGUUAAGUCCCGCAACGAGCGCAACCC